UUGGCUUGGAGAAGAGUGCUCAUUGUCGCACCAUGAAAUGGGGUCUUGCUUUGUUGCCCAGGCCAGAGUGCAGUGGCAUGAUCUCAGCUCACUGCAACCCCCACCUCCCAGGCUCAAGCAAUCCUCCCACCUCAGCCUCCAGAGUAGCUGGAACUACAGGGUUCCGAUGACAGGCUAUUAAAUUAUGAUAUGCUCCUGAGAAGAUGCAAA
RNAcentral lists this long non-coding RNA (210 nucleotides) under Homo sapiens (human). RNAcentral describes it as "HSALNT0175008". Lineage: Eukaryota; Metazoa; Chordata; Mammalia; Primates; Hominidae. The record is from RNAcentral.